RNAcentral lists this ribosomal RNA (253 nucleotides) under uncultured bacterium. RNAcentral's name for it is "partial 16S ribosomal RNA". It matches the Rfam family "Bacterial small subunit ribosomal RNA", at positions 524 to 776 of the family's 1533-position model. The record is from RNAcentral.
CACGUAGGGCGCAAGCGUUGUCCGGAAUUAUUGGGCGUAAAGAGCUUGUAGGCGGUCUGUCGCGUCUGCUGUGAAAAUCCGGGGCUCAACCCCGGACUUGCAGUGGGUACGGGCAGACUAGAGUGUGGUAGGGGAGACUGGAAUUCCUGGUGUAGCGGUGAAAUGCGCAGAUAUCAGGAGGAACACCGAUGGCGAAGGCAGGUCUCUGGGCCACUACUGACACUGAGAAGCGAAAGCAUGGGGAGCGAACAGG